This 72-nucleotide transfer RNA is filed under the name Pleodorina starrii. It matches the Rfam family "tRNA". Rfam says of the family: Transfer RNA (tRNA) molecules are approximately 80 nucleotides in length. Their secondary structure includes four short double-helical elements and three loops (D, anti-codon, and T loops). Further hydrogen bonds mediate the characteristic L-shaped molecular structure. tRNAs have two regions of fundamental functional importance: the anti-codon, which is responsible for specific mRNA codon recognition, and the 3' end, to which the tRNAs corresponding amino acid is attached (by aminoacyl-tRNA synthetases). tRNAs cope with the degeneracy of the genetic code in two manners: having more than one tRNA (with a specific anti-codon) for a particular amino acid; and 'wobble' base-pairing, i.e. permitting non-standard base-pairing at the 3rd anti-codon position. Lineage: Eukaryota; Viridiplantae; Chlorophyta; Chlorophyceae; Chlamydomonadales; Volvocaceae. The record is from Rfam by way of RNAcentral.
GCCCGGUUAGCUCAGUCGGUAGAGCGCAAGGCUCUUAACCUUGUGGUCGUGGGUUCGAGCCUACAUUGGGCG